AUAAAAGCCUUGAUGGGAAGAGUAAUUAUUACGAGGUAGUCAAAGCGAAUCAGUAAUGGUGAGAGACUGAUACGAAACUAAUAAUGAAGAACAUCCCGGAGCUUCCAAACGAAAUUUAUUAAGAGUAGUCUUGGACGGAGCCAAACCGUUAUAGCUUGGACAGUAUCGAAUUUAUUUAGUUAAUUCCGUACUGAUUAAAGUGAGCUUUUUUAAGCUAAUUUAGGUGGUACCACGGAAGUUUAAGUCUUUCGUCCUAUGU
This 259-nucleotide non-coding RNA is filed under the name Clostridium botulinum. RNAcentral describes it as "T-box sequence". It matches the Rfam family "T-box leader". Rfam says of the family: Uncharged tRNA acts as the effector for transcription antitermination of genes in the T-box leader family. T-boxes are found upstream of many aminoacyl-tRNA synthetase genes and some amino acid biosynthetic genes usually in Gram-positive bacteria. The record is from RNAcentral. Lineage: Bacteria; Bacillati; Bacillota; Clostridia; Eubacteriales; Clostridiaceae.